GCAGGUGUGUGCACUCACGGUGCUGACGUGUGUGCGCGUAUGUCCGUGGGUCCUGAUGAGUGCGUGAGUGCAGGUGUGUGCGCCCACGGUGCUGACGUGUGUGCACGUAUGUCCGUGGGUCCUGAGUGCGUGAGUACAGGUGUGUGCACUCACGGUGCUGACAUGUGUGCACGUAUGUCCGUGGGUCCUGAUGAGUGCAUGAGUGCAGGUGUGUGCGCCCAUGGUGCUGACGUGUGUGCACGUGUGCCCAUGGGUCCUGAUGAACAUGUGAGUGCAGGUGUGUGCGCCCACAGUGCUGACGUGUGUGUGCACUCCAUUUUCACGCUGCUGAAGAAGAUAUACCCAAAACUGGGAACAAAAAGAGGUUUAAUUGGACUUACAGUUCCACAUGGCUGGGGAAGCCUCAGAAUCAUGGCGGGUGGUGAAAGGCACUUUUUACAUGGCAGCGGCAAGAGAAAAAAUGAGGAGGAAGCAAAAGCAGAAACCCCUAAUAAACCUAUCAGAUCUCAUGAGACUUACUCACUAUCACGAGAAUAGCACAGAAAAGACCAGCCGAUGAUUCAAUUGCCUCCCCUGGGUCCCUCCCACAACACAUGGAAAUUCUUGGAGAUACAAUUCAAGUUGAGAUUUGGGUGGGGACACAGCCAAAGCAUAUCACCGUCUCUACUAAAACUACAAAAAUUAGC
RNAcentral lists this long non-coding RNA (686 nucleotides) under Pan troglodytes (chimpanzee). RNAcentral's name for it is "long non-coding RNA NONPTRT000811". The record is from RNAcentral. Lineage: Eukaryota; Metazoa; Chordata; Mammalia; Primates; Hominidae.